RNAcentral lists this ribosomal RNA (483 nucleotides) under uncultured bacterium. Its description in RNAcentral is "partial 16S ribosomal RNA". It matches the Rfam family "Bacterial small subunit ribosomal RNA", at positions 39 to 506 of the family's 1533-position model. The record is from RNAcentral.
GGGGGGGGGGGGGGGGGGGGGGGGGGGGGGCGGGGCGGGGGGGGGAAGGGGGCUGGCUCCUGGAGUCAGCGGCGGACGGGGGAGUAAUGCCUAGGAAUCUGCCUGGGAGUGGGGGAUAACGUCCGGAAACGGGCGCUAAUACCGCAUACGUCCUGAGGGAGAAAGUGGGGGAUCUUCGGACCUCACGCUAUCAGAUGAGCCUAGGUCGGAUUAGCUAGUUGGUGGGGUAAAGGCCUACCAAGGCGACGAUCCGUAACUGGUCUGAGAGGAUGAUCAGUCACACUGGAACUGAGACACGGUCCAGACUCCUACGGGAGGCAGCAGUGGGGAAUAUUGGACAAUGGGCGAAAGCCUGAUCCAGCCAUGCCGCGUGUGUGAAGAAGGGCUUCGGAUUGUAAAGCACUUUAAGUUGGGAGGAAGGGCAGUAAGUUAAUACCUUGCUGUUUUGACGCUACCAACAGAAUAAGCACCGGCUAACUUCGU